ACCGGGGGACGACCUCCAUUGUCAUUCACUUGAACGGGACGACCCGU
RNAcentral lists this non-coding RNA (47 nucleotides) under Roseibium album. RNAcentral's name for it is "Labrenzia alba Guanidine-II sequence". It matches the Rfam family "Guanidine-II riboswitch aptamer (mini-ykkC)". From Rfam's summary of the family: Simpler in structure and has fewer highly conserved nucleotide positions than the ykkC-yxkD leader. Despite this each of its two stem-loop structures directly bind free guanidine. RNAcentral also lists the same sequence under 1 other name. The record is from Rfam by way of RNAcentral. Lineage: Bacteria; Pseudomonadati; Pseudomonadota; Alphaproteobacteria; Hyphomicrobiales; Stappiaceae.